Molecule: long non-coding RNA, 528 nt
Organism: Populus trichocarpa (black cottonwood)
Lineage: Eukaryota; Viridiplantae; Streptophyta; Magnoliopsida; Malpighiales; Salicaceae
Exons: 2
Source: RefSeq, a predicted model, not a curated record
GUGUGUGUGUAUAUAUACAUGUACACUUCUGGAAUGAUACGUAUAAUCAUCCCUCUCUCUUGUACGCUCCUAAUCUUAGAUUCUUUUCCUAAUAAGGCAUACACAGGUAGGUUUAUCAAGUAGACUUCUAGGUGUAAUAGCACGUGUUCAAGAUGGAAAAGCUAAACUCGCAGCUAUACUUGCAGAACUGUUAUAUAAUCCAACAGAAUGAGAUGCUAAGGAAGAAAGCUCAGCGGCUAAACCAAGAGAAUCAGGCACUGUUGUCAGAGCUGAAGCAGAAACUCUCCAAGGCAAGCUCCAGUUCUACAACAAAUCCCGUUAAUUCUGACAAGCCCUGAUUCGUGGAUGUCUUAAUUCAGUAACGCCCCCUCCCUUUUCUCCCCCUUUGUUCGUUGUGUGCAGAGCAUGGAGUGCCUAGUUACAUGUUGAAACUCUAGCCAGUCUUUAUUUUUAGAGGAAAAAAUGUACUUGUGAAGAUAUAUUUGAUGAUUGAUAAAUGAAAUCUUCUGGUCUCUCUUUUACACCAAA